RNAcentral lists this long non-coding RNA (260 nucleotides) under Homo sapiens (human). RNAcentral describes it as "HSALNT0354485". The record is from RNAcentral. Lineage: Eukaryota; Metazoa; Chordata; Mammalia; Primates; Hominidae.
CUUGACCACAGGCCUUUGACACCUCUGGCAGCUGCCUACUGCCUGCAGAAUAAAGUCCUAGUCCCUUAACUUUCCAGGCCCUUCUAACCUGGUAUCAGCAUAACAUCAAUCUCCUACUUAUCCUCUUGAGCGCCUGGAGGUUAAAGACCUGCUGCCCUACUUGCCUCGAUGUUCUCUGCUCACUCUGGAGCCGUUCCCAGCCCUGUUGAGCCCAUUCUCCUCACCUGGACCACUGUGGUGUCCUGCCUCCUGGAACCUGC